GCUCUAAAUGGGAGGUAAAUUUCUUCUAAAGCUAAAUACCGGCCAGAGACCGAUAGCGCACAAGUAGAGUGAUCGAAAGAUGAAAAGCACUUUGGAAAGAGAGUUAAAAAGUACGUGAAAUUGUUGAAAGGGAAGCGCUUGCAACCAGACUUGUCCGCAGUUGCUCAGCCGGUCUCCUGACCGGCGUACUCUUCUGCGGCCAGGCCAGCAUCAGUUCGGGCGGUCGGAUAAAGGCCUCGGGAAUGUGGCUCCUCUCGGGGAGUGUUAUAGCCCGGGGUGCAAUGCGGCCAGCCUGGACUGAGGAACUUCGCUUCGGCAAGGAUGC
This 325-nucleotide ribosomal RNA is filed under the name Lasiodiplodia theobromae. RNAcentral describes it as "partial large subunit ribosomal RNA". It matches the Rfam family "Eukaryotic large subunit ribosomal RNA", at positions 285 to 626 of the family's 3401-position model. The record is from RNAcentral. Lineage: Eukaryota; Fungi; Ascomycota; Dothideomycetes; Botryosphaeriales; Botryosphaeriaceae.